CUAAGAGCGGGGACAUAGGCUGCAGUAUGAAUCUAAAAACACUUUACCUGCAUUUUCCAUUCAAUCGUUUGUGGGCUAAACCUAGAAUUGAAAAACAAUGAUACUUGAAACAUUGAUUGGAUUAACGUGUGAAAAUGUUGAAUACGGAGUACUACUUCACGUUUCCUCUGUAUUGGAAAUGUCCAGUUUUUACAUGCGUAAAUGUCAGCAAUGCACUCAGCACUGUAAUAACCCGAGAAAAUAGGUCCUAUUCUAGACUGAGGGGUGCAGGGAAUAGAACCCACCACCCUGGCAUUGCAAGUGCCAUGCUCUACCAACCGAGCCACACGGGACCCAGCCACUGAGGACUAAAGAACUUGAGACUACGUCCAAGAUGUCCGAACGUUGAUUUCAACAUGAUCUACUCAUGCGAUCGAUGGACCGUCUAUAUCCAGCUUGCAUUCGGUUUAGACGGCCCAACUUCACACUCAGUGCACACAGGGAGCAGCGCAAGCAGCGAUAACUUCAUCACGUUGUCCAAAAACAUGGUAGACAUUGGAUGAAUAUAAAAUGUUAAUAUCUUCGGCUGUUAGUGAUGGGAAAAAAUAGGCCUCAUCGACAGUUAUUUUAAUAAUUCAAAUGAUGUUUUGUACACAAAGAUGACUAAAGUGUCUUAGGAAUUUUCAAAUCCGACUUCUCUAUGCGGCUGUCUAUGGAAAUUGGCUUUAUGGGCCCAGCUUCAAUUAAACUGCAGUACUAAAGCAAGACUGUAGGAGCAGUCCAAACCGUCUAGACCAGAACCCUGGCCCAUUGGGGCCGGUCGUCACUUACCACAGCCACAAAGUAAUAAACCCUGCCUAUUUAGACAAUUUAACUUAUUAAAAAUGGGAUUGUACAUUUAACCCUAACCACACUGUUAACCCUAACUUUAAAUUAAGAUCAACAAGCUCAUUUUUGUUAUCAUGAAUUUUUACAAUGUGGCUGUGCUAUCUAGUGGAAACCCUUGGGUGCAGCUGCAUAAUGAUGCUUGAGGGCUGUGCAAACACUGCAGUAUCAAAGAUACCCCAAUAGGGGUAGUAGCAAUGCUACUUUGGUAUCUUACUGUUUCAUGCCACUGAGAAGAUGAAUGAACUGGCAUAGCUAAAAACAAACUUAAUAAAUUGGUAGAAAUAACACAUUGAGUCUGUAGUUGAACAUCCCUUUUUAGACUAGUGCUAUUGAAGAGUUCUUUCAAUUUUCAGUUGUCCCACACAACAUUGUUGUCAGGUGGAUGACAAGUGUCCUCUCACAAAGAAUGCUAGCUAGGCACAGUCAGCUAGGUAUGUUGCAGCAAGUGUGUCCUUGACAGCAGACGUCUGUCACUAGUCUGUGUUGGAUGACCCCAGUCAUAAACAAGACUGGCUAUUCUUUGUUAGGAUGCACGUCAGACGUCUUUAGCCAGGGCACAGGUGGUCUGGCUUGCCAGACUCUUAGACUAGGCCUAGGGCAUUGAACAAAAUACUCUAUCCCACUUUAAUCUCAUGGUUCUAAUUCUAAUCACCUAUUCUUAUGAAUAUGAAAAACACAGUGCCGCCGACGCGGCCCGCUACCAAAGACUGUGGGUUCUCCUUCUCCGUGGCCGACGUUUAAACGUGUUAACCCUCGCAAGGCUGCCUGCCCAGACCAGCUGGCUGGUGUGUUUACAGACAUAUUCAAUCUCUCCCUAUCCCAGUCUGCUCAAGAUGACCAACAUUGCUCCUGUACCCAAGAAGGCAAAGGUAACUGAACUAAAUGACUAUCGCCACGUAGCACUCACUUCUGUCAUCAUGAACUGCUUUGAGAGACUAGUCAAGGAUCAUAUCACCUCCACCUUACCUGUCACCCUAGACCCACUUCAAUUUCCUUAUCGCCCCAAUAGACCCACAGACGAUGCAAUCACCAUCACACUGCCCUAUCUCAUCUGCACAAGAGGAAUACCUAUGUAAGAAUGCUGUUUAUUGACUACAGCUCAGCAUUCAACACCAUAGUACCCUCCAAGCUCAUCAUUACGCUCUCGGAGUGUGGUGUCAGGAAAAUAACCUCUCACUCACCGUCAACAAAACAAAGGAGAUGAUUGUGGACUUCAGGAAACAGCAGAGGGAGCACCCCCCUAUCCACAUCGACGGGACAUUAGUGGAGAAGGUAGAAAGUUAUGUUCCUCGGUGUACACAUCACGGACAAACUAACAGUGUGGUGAAGGCGCAACCGCACCUCUUUAACCUCAGGAGGCUGAAGAAAUUUGGCUUGUCACCUAAAACCCUCAAACUUUUACAGAUGCACAAUUGAUAGCAUCCUGUUGGGUUGUAUCACCGCCUGCUACGGCAACUGCACAGCUCUCCAGAGGGUAGUGAGGUCUACACAACGCGUCACAGGGGACAAACUACCUGCUCUCCAGGACACCUACAGCACCCGAUGUCACAGGAAGGCCAAAAAGAUCAUCAAGGACAACAACCACCCGAGGCACUGCCUUACCACGCUACCAUCCAGAAGGUACAGUACAGGUGCAUCAAAGCUGGAACCGACUGAAAAACAGCUUCUAUCGCACAGCCAUCAGACUGUUAAACAACCAUCACCAGCAGAGGAUGCGGCCUACAUACAGACAUGAAAACAUUGGUCACUUUAAUGUUUAUAUAUCUUGCAUUACUCUUCUCAUAUGCAUAUACUGUCUUCUAUACUAUAUAUUGCAUCUUAGCCUAUGCCACUCGGUCAUUGCUCAUCCAUAUAUUUAUAUUUUCUUAUUCCAUUCCUUUACUUAGAUUUGUGUGUAUUAGGUAUCUGUUAUGGAAUUGUUAGAUAUUACUGCACUGUCAGAACUAGAAGCACAAGCAUUUCGCUACACUCACAAUAACAUCUGCUAACCAUGUUUAUGUGACCAAUAAAAUUUGAUUUGAUGACA
This is a long non-coding RNA of Oncorhynchus nerka (sockeye salmon), 2893 nucleotides long. RefSeq lists it as uncharacterized. NCBI's taxonomy places the organism in Eukaryota, Metazoa, Chordata, Actinopteri, Salmoniformes, Salmonidae. The record is from RefSeq and is a predicted model, not a curated record. The transcript is spliced from 2 exons.